GACGAACGCUGGCGGCGUGCUUAACACAUGCAAGUCGAACGGAAAGGCCCUGCUUUUGUGGGGUGCUCGAGUGGCGAACGGGUGAGUAACACGUGAGUAACCUGCCCUUGACUGUGGGAUAACUUCAGGAAACUGGGGCUAAUACCACCUAGGAGCUCCUGCUGCAUGGUGGGGGUUGGAUAGUUUCGGCGGUUGGGGAUGGACUCGCGGCUUAUCAGCUUGUUGGUGGGGUAGUGGCAUACGAAGGCAUUGGCGGGUAGCCGGCCUGGGAGGGUGACCGGCCACAUUGGGACUGAGCUACGGCCCAGACUCCUAUGGGAGGCAGCAGUGGAGAAUAUUGCACAAUGGGCGGGAGCCUGAUGCAGCAACGCCGCGUGCGGGAUGACGGCCUUCGGGUUGUAAACCGCUGUCGCCUGUGACGAAGCGUGAGUGACGGUAAUGGGUAAAGAAGCACCGGCUAACUACGUG
This 468-nucleotide ribosomal RNA is filed under the name uncultured bacterium. RNAcentral's name for it is "partial 16S ribosomal RNA". It matches the Rfam family "Bacterial small subunit ribosomal RNA", at positions 28 to 507 of the family's 1533-position model. The record is from RNAcentral.